Molecule: long non-coding RNA, 701 nt
Filed under: Homo sapiens (human)
Lineage: Eukaryota; Metazoa; Chordata; Mammalia; Primates; Hominidae
Description: HSALNT0290465
Source: RNAcentral
GUCAGGAUAACCCAAGGCGCAGGCGCGGCGGGGCCUUAAAGGGACCCGGCGGCCUCUUCUGCACAACGGGUUCGAGCAGUCUCCCUGAGCACAAUUUAUUUGCUGAAAGGCCACAUCUCACUAUGGAGUGAGGAUCAAGAAGUAAAGGUCUGAAAGAGAGAAGCUGCGGGGCUGGGGAGACUGUUGGUCGGAGAGGCGUCGGGGGCCCAAGGAAAAGGGAGGAUUGUGGGGAGGAAUCGGCGUAGAGAUGAGAGGAGCAGCAGAGACAGAGUCUCACGCAGAGGUGUGCCCAGACACCCUGAACCAAGUUACUUAACCUCGUCCACCACCGUGGCACCCGUGGGGUCCGUGGGCCCGUCGGUCUUCCAGGAGGGAUUCUGUGUCCCUGUUAUUGUGUGUCAACAUGUGUUAGCCUGAUAUUUAUAUUUUUAAUGAGAGAAAACGAACUCUGGAAUUUGCGAACUGUUUUUUCGUUUUGCUUUAUACCUCUUGGACACUCCUUCCGAAGGAUUGGGUCUCAAGGGCAGUGGGGUGUGACUACGGUAGACAGGGCUGAUUAAUUUUCAUCCAAAACUCUUUGGCGGAUUCCCCUGCUCUCCGCUUCUCCGGUCUAACAGUAGUUUAAAAUAGAAGAUCAGCAACAUUUGGAGAGUUUUUUUCUUUGCAUUUUAAUGAUAAACUUGAUUUAUUCCAUUCCAAAA